This 1683-nucleotide long non-coding RNA is filed under the name Leguminivora glycinivorella. RNAcentral describes it as "uncharacterized LOC125236605". Lineage: Eukaryota; Metazoa; Arthropoda; Insecta; Lepidoptera; Tortricidae. The record is from RNAcentral.
GCGAUGUCGCCAGAUAUGUCAGGCGAAAUCGGCCGGCUUCGCUUGACAUGUCGCCGACACAUGUCGUGGGACAUUUGUCCCCUAGUGUAUCCUUGGCUUAAGAUAAACAGUUUUGUCAAUAAACCCGCACAAAAUUCAAAAAUAUUUCAAUAGUUGUACUUAACGUUUACGUGCCACGUUUUGGUUCAUCCUUGUAAGACAUGCUUACAUUAGUGUAGCCGAAUUAAACAAUACAUAAAAAAAUAAUGUACUUAUACUUAUGCUCAAGUAUUCCUAUAUAAAUAGACACUAUUUUUGUAUGUAAAUUAAGCAAACAAUGUAUACUGUAAUUUAUAAUAAAUACUUUUAAGUAUUUUACGUUAUUUACGUAGAUUAAUUGAAGUAGCAGUAUUUUUUUUGUGUUUGUAUUUAUUUUUUUGGAAAAGUUUGUUCAGUGUGUUGAAAAAAUUAAGUCGAUAUUAGUUUCGAAGACGUCUCUUUUGAGCUCAGUACUCAUGAGUUAUGAUGCAACAGUGGUUUUGUUAAAAAACACCGAUCGCAAAUUCUUCAAAAACGUUAUUUAAGAAUACUUCUCAUUAUUUUAUACAAAAAUGUAUUUAACUACUAAACCAUUCAUUAAAAUGGAAGGAAGAAAACUGACCACAUUUUAAUGUAAUGUAUUUUCGUUAAUUUGUAUUUCAAGAUUACCUCCACGCCAUUUUUUCUUAUGCUAAAAACGUAUAAUAAUUACAAUAGCGAAAGAAAAUAAACACGAAAUACAGAACCUUCUCCUUCUGGGUAAAGAAGUCGGUUAAAAAUGACAUCAAGUAUUUUUAAAUGUAAUUAGUGACAUAUGAACACUAAGAAAAAGGUUAGUAUUCUAUAAAGCCACAGCAAUUUCAUAGGAUGUUUAAUAGAUUUGCAUGUAAUGUUUUUUUGAGAGUCGUUGCUGCAUGGUUGUAUAUUUCUGGCAAACUACUGAGGUACAUGCAAUUUCCGACGAGGUACAAGGGGUACGUCAGAGGUACAUUCCACCAUGGUAAUCUGAGCACAAUAAACCGUGGUGGUCCGGCUGCAGAGUAUCACGCGUAUUUUUUUAUCAGUUAUGAAAAUUAAGUCAAAUGAGAGACGCCAUGUCUAUCGUGUCUACACUCUAGUCUUGUAUGAAAAUGUACAAAUAAUACGAAGUUUACUUAAAAAAAAAACUACCUACAACCAGUGGCCCAUUUCUCAAAACUGAAAGUUACAAGCGGAAGUCUCUUUCCAACUUGUCAUAUUAGACAUUGACUACCACAUGUAAAUUGUAACUUGUAGCUUAAAACUGAAAGUUACAAGCGGAAUUCUCUUUCGAGCUUGAGCCCCUGGGGCCCAUUUCUCGAAGCUAACUGUAACUUUCAGUUUUGAGAAAUGGGUCCUUGUUCUACAGUCGCAUUAAAAGUAGGUAAUUUAAAUAGUGCUGGGUUAUUUCAAAACUUGCUUUCAUUAAAACAUCGACUAGGUAUAAAGAAACUUUGUUAAGUGAUAACAAAGUUUGCCGCUAUAAGACUAGGUCAGGGCUUGCCGCUUUAAUUAAUAACUAUUAAUAAUUAUUUUACUGUGAUUUUAUAAUUGACUUUUAAUUCUGCUAGAUUUAGUUUUAAGCAAUAUUUGUUACUUACCAUCUACGAUGACCUGUUAAAAAUAAUAUAUAAUUUUCGUAAGAAA